Molecule: ribosomal RNA, 459 nt
Filed under: uncultured bacterium
Lineage: Bacteria
Description: partial 16S ribosomal RNA
Rfam family: Bacterial small subunit ribosomal RNA
Source: RNAcentral
CCUACGGGUGGCAGCAGUGAGGAAUAUUGGUCAAUGGCCGGAAGGCUGAACCAGCCAAGCCGCGUGAAGGACGAAGGUGCCACGCAUUGUAAACUUCUUUUGUCAAGGGACAAAAUCCGGCUCGAGAGCCUGCCCGCGGGUACUUGAAGAAAAAGCAUCGGCUAACUCCGUGCCAGCAGCCGCGGUAAUACGGAGGAUGCGAGCGUUAUCCGGAUUUAUUGGGUUUAAAGGGUGCGUAGGCGGGCUGUUAAGUCAGCGGUAAAAGCCCGGGGCUCAACCCCGGCGCGCCGUUGAAACUGGCGGUCUUGAGAGGGCGAGAGGUAUGCGGAAUGCGCAGUGUAGCGGUGAAAUGCUUAGAUAUUGCGCAGAACCCCGAUUGCGAAGGCAGCAUACCGGCGGCGAUCUGACGCUGAGGCACGAAAGCGUGGGUAUCGAACAGGAUUAGAUACCCGAGUAGUC